AAUAUCGUCUGAUCCACUCGUCUCCGUGUAUCCCGCGGCGGCCCCAAUCCAGGAGGGAAGCAACCACCGGCCCGCCUCCCUGGAUUCGCUCCUGCUACGAGGGUUCCAGCCCGGCGCCCCCUGCAGCGGUGUGCCGCCUCCCUAGAAACCCUCUGCUGUGGUGUGCCGAUCCUGCCCGAUGCCUCCCUGCCCCACCGCCCCCUGCAGCGGCUCCCUCCGUCGAGCAGCCGAUGACGCCCAACACCGGCCACCAAUCCGUGGGUCAACAUGAUGAAGUCGGCGUGCUUUCUUCAGGAACUCCAUCGUACUUACGAAUAGGUACGGGGCAGCUCUACAAUGAUAGGAUGUUAUAAGGGAAAUUCAUCUGGGGGUAUCCCAAGAAUGAACAUAUGAGUAUCUCUCGAGUUGAACAAAUGACACACAUCGAGAGCAAAGUAAG
Molecule: ribosomal RNA, 439 nt
Filed under: Triticum aestivum (bread wheat)
Lineage: Eukaryota; Viridiplantae; Streptophyta; Magnoliopsida; Poales; Poaceae
Description: partial small subunit ribosomal RNA
Source: RNAcentral